ACUUCGCCCGGACUCCUACGGGAGUCGGGCUCCACCCGCGAUUUUUGCAGUAAGGGAGACUCCGCUCGGACUCCUACGGGAGCCGGACUCCACCCCACGACUUCUGCAGCAAGGAAGACUCCGCCCGCCCCGGCAAUGGCCCUUACGUGCCCUCGCAGGAACGGGAGGAGAACCUCGUCCUGAUGGUGACGAAACCCAACCACCCAACAAGAUCGGAUGAAGGGAAAAAGCCCCUUAGCGGCACCUCCACGCUCCUGUGCAACCCCGCAAAGGGCGAGGGGAGGGCCCUCACUCAGAGAAGAGGAGGAAAAUUAAAAAAGAAGGGUGACGAACUACGAUGGAAACAGAUGAAGGAAGAACCACACCAAAGACCUAAAGGACUUCGUCCCAAUGGAGACAGGGAGUUCCCACCAAACACCCCCGGCCUCUAAAAAGACUCCCGACACA
RNAcentral lists this long non-coding RNA (447 nucleotides) under Elaeis guineensis (African oil palm). RNAcentral's name for it is "long non-coding RNA (EGUI_LNC058608)". Lineage: Eukaryota; Viridiplantae; Streptophyta; Magnoliopsida; Arecales; Arecaceae. The record is from RNAcentral.